UUGAAACUUUACCUCGCCACUCCUUCCUUAGUGACGAGUUUGUCUAGCUGGACCCUAGAAGAUUCAUAGAUGGAUUCUCCCCUGAGCUUUGGCUAUUAGAGCUCAGAGCAAGGUCAGCCACAGGGAAGGGCAUCAGCUGGGACCUGAGUGUGCACUGCUUUACCUGGCACUGCCUAUUGUGAUGUCAUGGAAUCUCAGUCUAGAGACAGAAACUCUGUAGUGGAGGGGGCAUAGGCUUGAGAAAUGUCCCUAAUAUGGGGGCUCGCUUUCCCACUGCCGACACAUCUCAGCCUUAUGCUACUUGGUUUCUUGGUUUGUGGAAUAUGGGUUGUUUUCUAGGUAUCAGAGGUAGACACAGGUGGCAGCCAAGACAGAGGCUUCCAAGCAACAAAAUCUAAAACAAAUCUGGAAACUCACAGGUCAGAAUGAUUUUAUCCUUAUCGGGCAGCUCAAGGCUGAUGACUGAUCAACUGUGGACCUGCUUUAGGACUCUUUCCACUUGAAGUGGAAGAAAGUUGAAAAAGAGGGUGUGCCUGGAGAGUACACUCAUCUCCCUGACAUCUUUCCUUCCAAAGUCAUGCAGACAGCUCCAUCCUCCAUUGUUUCCUUUUCUUGGGCUUCUCUGUCCCUACAUCUUCAUGUAGAGCCCAAAGUAUGGGAGAGGAGAAUGGACACAGCCACAGACAGCAUAAAGGUCACUCCAUUGGCAUUGCUUCAGGUUAUGGACUCAAUGGGAAUAAGCCCAGAAGUCCACAAGGCACAGGACCAGAAGGAAUAGCCUCAAAGCUACAAUACCAAGUCAUGAAAUCAGUAAAGAUGAAUACAUUGCAUAAUUAUCAAGCCAUAAGACCAGGAAGUAUGAGUCUAGGGCCACAGCAGACAGUUGUGGAAGCUAUGGAAAUGAUUACCCAGUCUCAGCAUAAUGUCAUGGGAACACUGAUCAUGACCUUGAGUUCUUAGAAUCAAGCCACAAAACACCAGGAUUACUCCCAGUCCAGUACAUCAAAAUGCAAUGGAAAUUAGUUCAAGUGCACUGCCUGAAGCCAUUGAUGAUACAAAGUGACUCCAGUGGCAAAACAAGCCAUGGAUUUCAUGCAGAUAAUUCCACUAUGACAGCCACACAUUACUAAAUCUAGGGCUUUGAUCCAAGGCUCACAGCCUCCAGCUGAAAAUUUGACCCCAGUGUCAGCUCAACCAGAUGUUCCGACUUCUACUGUCCCAGUAGGAACUGUAGAAUCUAGAAGCAUACCUCCACAGCCACCAUCUAAAGUCCUGGGACCAUCAGGAAUGAUUGAUGACCUACUACCAUCAGGUUAAUCCCUGUAUACUCUAAAGGUGACCCCGCUAGUCAGGCAUCUCCCACGGGAAUGAUCACACCACUACAAGUUGUAGAGCCUCAAGUCAGAGAGUCUCUGCAAUUUGCCUUCUGGGUUACAGGGUCAAGUUAAAGACUCCGUGGGGAGUCUUAAGGCACAGAGUGUGUGUCAUUGACUCUAGGACUGUCUCAUCAGGUCACAGACUCUUUGGAGUUCACCCCAUGGCACCAAGACUUAAAUUAUUCGGAGGUGAGCCCAAGGCAAAGUCACAACAUGGCAGAAGCUAUGGGGUUGAACUGGCCACAAGUGAAGGAUCCUGUGGAGACACCAUAGUCACAUCAUCAAAUAAUGGAAUCCACGAGAACAAUCCCAGCACCACCAGAUCAAGGUGCAGUACCUAUAGGAAGGGGCCAAAAGCAUCAAAUUCCAGAAGCUGAAGUAGGGCCAGUCAUACCACUGCUUCAGGAAACGGAAUAUUUGGGGGGGGGGCACUGUCCCACAGUCUAAGGUUAGAGAUUCAAUGGACUUACCCCCAGAACUACAGAAUGUAAAAUCUGAGCACCUGAUCCCAGAUCCAAGAUUGCAAAGUAUGAAAUCUGUGGGCAUAAUCACAGAUUUAGUCCUAGAAAUGGAAAAAUAUGGACCACCAACCUCAACAGUGGUAUCUACAGAUUUGGCCCCAGAACUAAAUCAGCAGAAUACACAAUCUGAGGAAUUAACCCCCAUACCACAACUGCAAAGUGAGACAUCUGUGCCAUCAGCCCCUGAGUCUCAGUUUCAAGAUGUGAAUUCUGGCCAACUGACAGUUGAACCACAACUCCAAAACAAAAAGUCUGCUAGGUAGGCCCCAAGUCCACAGUUGUAAAGUAAAUAAAUCAGUACAUUUGAUCAACAACUCUCAGUCUCAAGGUAUGGAAGAAUGCUCUUUCAGCCCUAUCACAGGAAUUACAAGGUAAUUAAAAAUGGUGGAGUUGACUCCAAAUGAUCACUUGAAGGUAGAAAAUCUGUGAACUUGGCCCCAGAACCAUGUUCACAAAGCACCGGCUAUGAUAAGAUGGCCCCUGUACCAUUGCUUGAGGAUACAAAGACUCCAUUUGUAGAAGGUAGGAGUCUACUUCCUGAGGCACAGGUGGAGACUAUGGAAGUUGGUGAACUGAUCCCAAGCACACACUUUUAUGCAACAAAAUCUUUAGAAGCGACCCCCAAACCAAGUUAUCAUUUCCUAGAACCUGAAGGACUGACCCUACAGCAUCCAGCCUCAGAAGCAAGAGUGACCUCUGAUCCUUGCCAGCAGGUGGAAAAAUCUGCUCUGUUGCCACAAUCAUCAUUAGGGAUGAGUCCAACACCAUUGAGCCAGACCUCAGAAUCUGUGGAGAUGAGCUCACCACCACUCCAAGAGACUCUUGAACCUGGGACCCAAGUUGUGAAAGAGAUGGAAGAGACUCCAGAAUCAGGAAGUGCAAUUAAAGAUACUCUGGAUUUGCUACUAGAUUCAGAAGUGCAAACUAUGAUCUCAGGAGUGAUGGCCCCAGAGACACAGCCCCCAGAUGUGAAGUUUGUUCAGGUGACUCUAGAACUGUGUGCAGAAUUUGCUAACCCAUCGGAAAGAAUUCUGAGACAAGAAUAUGAAGACAGAGACCAUCAGGUUGACAUUGUCUAAAGUCGAUGAUACCCAGGGGACCAUUGUAGACCCAUAAUCAGAGAUGAGAUCUCUAGAGUUGAGUCUAGAACCAAGAGUGCAAGGUGUAAAGUCAGAGACCUUGGCCCAAAAUUUGAAAUCUGCAGAAGUAAUUGCUGAAUCACCUGAACAAGUUGUAGAACCUACAGAGCUAACUACAGAACCCUAACUGCAUAUUGAAGAUGGGAUCCCAGGGCCACAGCUCCAUGAAGUAAAGUCUAGGCAAAUGGAUAGAGAAUCACAGUUGCAGAAUGAGAAAUCUGUAGAUGUAAUGAAUGCAACAGUCACCUAUAGGAAAGGUAGAUCCUGAAAAGACAAAACCAGAGCCAGGGCUACAAAGUUUAUCACCAAAGGAACUGAUUGAGGGGCCACAGCCCCCAAAUGUGAAAUCUGUGGAUUUAAAUCUAGGGCCACAGCAGCUAAAUGUCAAAUCGGAAUUGAUUCUAGGGCCACAAUUGCAAAGUGUCCAAUUUCUAAAGUUAUAUCAAGAGCUACUUCUUCAAGGGGAAAACCCAGUAAAUUUCAUCUCAGGCCCCCCACAUUAUGGUGUGAACUCUGAUGAUGAAAUAUCAUGUUCCCCAGGGUCAGAAACCAGAUCAUCAGCAUUUCUUCUAGGGCCAAAGCCUCCAGAACCACAGCCACAGCCACAACCUGUGAAGUUGGUGGACAUAAACAUAAGACCAUGCUUGCAACAUGUGAGAUUCUCUGAUCCCGUCCUAGAGCCCAAGCACCAAGGUUUCAAAUGUGGACAAUUCACGCCAGGUAUUCAGCUUCAAGAUAGGAAGCCCUAGGGAUUGAUGCCAGAAUCAUUUUUGCCAUUAGGCCAAGAGAUGCACGUUGAAGAUAAGAAGCUUGUGUUGCCUCCGGAACUAUCAGAGUUUUGCAGCAUGAAACUCACAAUCCCAUCCUCUGAACUACAACAUCCAAGAGUGAUAGCUGAGGAGGUCAAUCCAGGACUGUGGCAACAAGACACCAAAUUUUCUGAGUUGGCUUCUAGAAUAAAACAUCAAGGGGCCCAAUUUGGGGAGCAAAUUUUGUCUUAUGGUAUGAGUCCUAUGGCUCCAGAGUUAGGGAUACAUGAUCCCAAAUCAGCAAAGGUGACUCCAGGCCUACAAGAUACAAGGCAGGUAAGUUUUAACUCAGGGCCAUGGCUGCACAAUGUCAAAUUUUUUGAUGUAAUUCCAGGAACUCAACCUCAAGCUGUGAAGACUUCAGAGUUUAACUCAGGGCCACGAUUAGAAUGUGUAAAAAUAUUUGAGUUGACCACACAGCCAGAGAGGCAAGGGAUGAAGCCAGAGUUAAUAGCACAAGAGCCACUCUUUCAAGAUAUACAAUAUGUCCCAGGGAAUCAAGUACCAAGCUUUGAAGACCCAAUGUCUUAUAAACUAGCCUCUGAGCCACACAUACCAAAUACAGAAUCAAUGAAAUUGACUCCUAGGAAACACUUAGCAGGUGCAGAUCAUUCUGAGUUGAUCAGAAGAUCAUAGGCACAAGGUGUAGAAUCUUCUGAAUUGAUCCACAGACAGCAUUUGGGACAUAUAAAACCUGUGAAGAAGAUCACA
This is a long non-coding RNA of Peromyscus maniculatus bairdii (prairie deer mouse), 4556 nucleotides long. RefSeq lists it as uncharacterized. The record is from RefSeq and is a predicted model, not a curated record. Lineage: Eukaryota; Metazoa; Chordata; Mammalia; Rodentia; Cricetidae.